Molecule: ribosomal RNA, 512 nt
Filed under: uncultured bacterium
Lineage: Bacteria
Description: bacterial SSU rRNA
Rfam family: Bacterial small subunit ribosomal RNA
Source: RNAcentral
ACGAACGCUGGCGGCGUGCUUAACACAUGCAAGUCGAACGGGAGGAAAGGAGAAGCUUGCUUCUUUUUGAAUCUAGUGGCAAACGGGUGAGUAACACGUAAACAACCUGCCUUCAGGAUGGGGACAACAGACGGAAACGACAGCUAAUACCGAAUGUGUUCCGGAGACCGCAUGAUUUCCGGAAGAAAGGAUGGCCUCUAUUUAUAAGCUAUCGCCUGAAGAGGGGUUUGCGUCUGAUUAGGCAGUUGGUGAGGUAACGGCCCACCAAACCUACGAUCAGUAGCCGGUCUGAGAGGAUGAACGGCCACACUGGAACUGAGACACGGUCCAGACUCCUACGGGAGGCAGCAGUGGGGAAUCUUCCGCAAUGGACGAAAGUCUGACGGAGCAACGCCGCGUGAGUGAUGACGGCCUUCGGGUUGUAAAGCUCUGUGAUCGGGGACGAAUGGCUGGUAUGCUAAUACCAUAUCAGAGUGACGGUACCCGAAUAGCAAGCCACGGCUAACUACGUG